GAUGAACGCUAGCGAUAGGCCUAACACAUGCAAGUCGAGGGGCAGCGCGAUGUAGCAAUACGGAUGGUGGCGACCGGCGCACGGGUGAGUAACACGUAUGCAACCUGCCUUCAACAAGGGGAUAACCCGUUGAAAGACGGACUAAUACCCUAUAACACAGGGGUCCCGCAUGGGAAUAUUUGUUAAAGGACAACCGGUUGAAGAUGGGCAUGCGUUCCAUUAGCUAGUUGGCGGGGUAACGGCCCACCAAGGCAACGAUGGAUAGGGGAACUGAGAGGUUUAUCCCCCACACUGGUACUGAGACACGGACCAGACUCCUACGGGAGGCAGCAGUGAGGAAUAUUGGUCAAUGGACGCAAGUCUGAACCAGCCACGUCGCGUGAAGGAAGACGGCCCUACGGGUUGUAAAACUUCUUUUAUACGGGAAUAAAGUGCCCCACGCGUGGGGUUUUGCAUGUACCGUAUGAAUAAGGAUCGGCUAACUCCGUG
This 489-nucleotide ribosomal RNA is filed under the name uncultured bacterium. Its description in RNAcentral is "bacterial SSU rRNA". It matches the Rfam family "Bacterial small subunit ribosomal RNA", at positions 28 to 507 of the family's 1533-position model. The record is from RNAcentral.